AGGCUGAGCUGUGAUGGGGAGAAGACAUUGUGUCUUCGAGUCGUUGAUUUCACACUGCCGAGAAAAGCCUCUAGAUAGAAAAUAGGUGCCCGUACCGCAAACCGACACAGGUAGUCAAGAUGAGAAUUCUAAGGUGAGCGAGCGAACUCUCGUUAAGGAACUCGGCAAAAUGACCCCGUAACUUCGGGAGAAGGGGUGCUCUUUAGGGUUAACGCCCAGAAGAGCCGCAGUGAAUAGGCCCAAGCGACUGUUUAUCAAAAACACAGGUCUCUGCUAAACCGUAAGGUGAUGUAUAGGGGCUGACGCCUGCCCGGUGCUGGAAGGUUAAGAGGAGUGGUUAGCUUCUGCGAAGCUACGAAUCGAAGCCCCAGUAAACGGCGGCCGUAACUAUAACGGUCCUAAGGUAGCGAAAUUCCUUGUCGGGUAAGUUCCGACCCGCACGAAAGGCGUAACGAUUUGGGCACUGUCUCAACGAGAGACUCGGUGAAAUCAUAGUACCUGUGAAGAUGCAGGUUACCCGCGACAGGACGGAAAGACCCCGUGGAGCUUUACUGUAGCCUGAUAUUGAAAUUCGGCACAGCUUGUACAGGAUAGGUAGGAGCCUUUGAAACGUGAGCGCUAGCUUACGUGGAGGCGCUGGUGGGAUA
Molecule: ribosomal RNA, 647 nt
Filed under: Staphylococcus aureus S94
Lineage: Bacteria; Bacillati; Bacillota; Bacilli; Caryophanales; Staphylococcaceae
Description: bacterial LSU rRNA
Rfam family: Bacterial large subunit ribosomal RNA
Source: RNAcentral